UAUGGGACCGUUGUACAAGUAAUCGAAGGGACAAUACUGCCUUUUGUCUAUCAAACGUACAGAGAUAUUAAGAUACCCGAUGGAAUGUCCGUUACCUACGUAGAGGUGCAAGUGCACUCACUAUCCCCAGCUAAAGUAGACUACGACAACAAUGAGCAACAAGUCUCUAUUGGCUUCAGUAUCACUCAAUUAAGUAUGUCUUCAUAUAAAAUCAUAGUAAAAGCUGUUCCAACCAGUGAUGUGAUUGUCUCAAAGGAAUAUCUUACGAUUCACUAAUAAGUUCGUAAAUAUACAAUGAUAUAAAUUAA
Molecule: long non-coding RNA, 308 nt
Organism: Zerene cesonia (dogface butterfly)
Lineage: Eukaryota; Metazoa; Arthropoda; Insecta; Lepidoptera; Pieridae
Exons: 2
Source: RefSeq, a predicted model, not a curated record